This 803-nucleotide ribosomal RNA is filed under the name uncultured bacterium. Its description in RNAcentral is "bacterial SSU rRNA". It matches the Rfam family "Bacterial small subunit ribosomal RNA", at positions 1 to 805 of the family's 1533-position model. The record is from RNAcentral.
UUAGAGUUUGAUUUUGGCUCAGGAUGAACGCUAGCGGCAGGCUUAACACAUGCAAGUCGAGGGGCAGCGCGAGUAGCAAUACUUGGCGGCGACCGGCGCAAGGGUGCGUAACACGUGAGUAACAUACCUGUAUCAGGGGAAUAAGCCAUGGAAACGUGGUCUAAAACCGCAUAAUAUGAACUAUAGGCAUCUAUAGAUUAUUAAAAUUACGAUGGAAACAGAUUGGCUCGCGGAACAUUAGCUAGUUGGUAAGGUAACGGCUUACCAAGGCGACGAUGUUUAGGGGUUCUGAGAGGAAGGUCCCCCACACUGGAACUGAGACACGGUCCAGACUCCUACGGGAGGCAGCAGUGAGGAAUAUUGGACAAUGGAUGGAAAUCUGAUCCAGCCAUGCCGCGUGAAGGAUAAGGUCCUAUGGAUUUUCAACUUCUUUUGUAUGGGAGCAAUAAGGUCUACGCGUAGACUGAUGAGAGUACCAUACGAAUAAGCAUCGGCUAACUCCGUGCCAGCAGCCGCGGUAAUACGGAGGAUGCAAGCGUUAUCCGGAUUUAUUGGGUUUAAGGGGUGCGUAGGCGGAAGGAUAAGUCAGCGGUGAAACGUACGGGCUCAACCCGUGAACUGCCGUUGAAACUGUUCAUCUGGAAUGCGGAUGCUGUGGGAGGAAUGUGUAGUGUAGCGGUGAAAUGCAUAGAUAUUACACAGAACACCGAUUGCGAAGGCAUCUCACAAAACCGCGAUUGACGCUGAGGCACGAAAGUGUGGGGAUCGAACAGGAUUAGAUACCCUGGUAGUCCACACAGUAA